RNAcentral lists this ribosomal RNA (216 nucleotides) under uncultured bacterium. RNAcentral's name for it is "partial 16S ribosomal RNA". It matches the Rfam family "Bacterial small subunit ribosomal RNA", at positions 28 to 240 of the family's 1533-position model. The record is from RNAcentral.
GACGAACGCUGGCGGCGUGCUUAACACAUGCAAGUCGAGCGGUAAGGCCCUUCGGGUACACGAGCGGCGAACGGGUGAGUAACACGUGGGUGACCUGCCCUUAGCUCUGGGAGUAAGACCACGGGAAACGUACGGGUCUAAUACCGGAGUAUGACCUCAUGACGCAUGUUGUGGGGUGGAAAGACCUUGUGCGGCUAGGGAUGGGCCCGCGGCCUA